This 408-nucleotide ribosomal RNA is filed under the name uncultured bacterium. Its description in RNAcentral is "partial 16S ribosomal RNA". It matches the Rfam family "Bacterial small subunit ribosomal RNA", at positions 28 to 526 of the family's 1533-position model. The record is from RNAcentral.
GACGAACGCUGGCGGCGUGCUUAACACAUGCAAGUCGAACGAAGUGGCGAACGGGUGAGUAACGCGUAAUCAACCUGCCCUUCAGAGGGGGACAACAGUUGGAAACGACUGCUAAUACCGCAUACUGAAGGAGGGGAUUGCGUCGGAUUAGCUAGUGGGAGGGGUAAAGGCCCACCAAGGCGAUGAUCAGUAGGCGGUCUGGAAGGGUGAACCGCCACAAUGGGACUGGGACACGGCCCAAGCUCCUACGGGAGGCAGCAGGUGGGAAUCAUCCGAAAUGGACGAAAGUCUGACGGAGCAACGCCGCGUGAGUGAUGACGGCCUUCGGGUUGGAAAGCUCUGUUAAUCGGGACGCGGUACCGGAAUAGAAAGCCACGGCUAACUACGUGCCAGCAGCCGCGGUAAUAC